UGGGGAAUAUUGGACAAUGGGCGCAAGCCUGAUCCAGCCAUGCCGCGUGAACGAUGAAGGCCUUAGGGUUGUAAAGUUCUUUUGUCAGGGAAGAUAAUGACGGUACCUGGAGAAUAAGCACCGGCUAACUUCGUGCCAGCAGCCGCGGUAAUACGAAGGGUGCUAGCGUUGUUCGGAAUCACUGGGCGUAAAGCGCGCGUAGGCGGCUUAACAAGUCAGAGGUGAAAGCCUGGAGCUCAACUCCAGAACUGCCUUUGAAACUGUUAAGCUUGAGUGUCGGAGGGGAUAGCGGAAUUUCUAAUGUAGAGGUGAAAUUCGUAGAUAUUAGAAGGAACACCGGUGGCGAAGGCGGCUAUCUGGACGACAACUGACGCUGAGGCGCGAAAGCGUGGGGAUCAAACAGGAUUAGAUACCCGCGUAGUCCCUGAGCGGGCUGGCAAGGCGCAU
Molecule: ribosomal RNA, 447 nt
Filed under: uncultured bacterium
Lineage: Bacteria
Description: bacterial SSU rRNA
Rfam family: Bacterial small subunit ribosomal RNA
Source: RNAcentral